AAUAAGUGCAGUUUUGCACUAUUUAUGUUCAACGUUUGACCGUCCGUCUUAUUUGAAAAUUUUUUAUGAUUAUUAUUUUUAUUGCUAUUAGAUGAUAAAACAUGAAUAAUACUUUAUGUGUGACUAAAUGUUUUUAAUUUUUUCACAAAUUUUUCAAAUAAGACGGACGGUCAAACGUUGAACGUGAAUAGUGCAAAACUGCACUUAUU
This 209-nucleotide microRNA precursor is filed under the name Oryza sativa Indica Group (long-grained rice). RNAcentral's name for it is "MIR812 microRNA precursor family". It matches the Rfam family "MIR812 microRNA precursor family". The record is from Rfam by way of RNAcentral. Lineage: Eukaryota; Viridiplantae; Streptophyta; Magnoliopsida; Poales; Poaceae.